GAAAGCAUUCCAUUCCGUCCUAAAGAGUCGGUGCUAGCUUCUUCCCUUGAGUUGUCUGCUUUGCUUUUUUUUUGGGGGGGGGGCUUCUUGUAUUCGUGUGUGAGGCUAGCCUCUGCCCGGAAGUCUUCGAAGUCAGGUUCAUGUUCACUCCUUUUGAUUGGAUUCUUCUAUCAUUGGAUUUUCAGUCUUGGAAGUGGUGAAGCGGUUGUCCGAUUGAUUGAGUAGUCCAUGGCCAGUGAAGGUGCUUUCGGGUCUAUACCCAUAGCCCUCUCGUCUAGGGGCUAAAACUGAUGACUCAAAGCCUAUCGUAUCCGUCUUGGAGUCAGCGCCUAAUUCAUUUGUCGUCCUAUAGCUUGGGACUGGGGUUCCGCUUGUAGUACCCUUUUCUAAUCGGCUAAUCCUUCUUGCUGGAGUUGUUGUACCAGCAAGCAAGUGCUUAUUUCUUCCUUUUGGUAUUGAAGCGGCUCAUUCUUUCUGGUUCACGACCGAUCUAAAAGUGCUUUCCUUCUAGCUUGACUUGUUCUAUUAGAUAUGUGGCUUUGUUGUAAGCGGACCUAGCAAUCAUCCUCUCCCCCCUUCCCUCAGGGGAAGUGUAGGCAUCAGAGAGGCCCCGUGCAGUGCUUGCCUUUCUACCUCUCUCCGUAUUGCAUUCAUCCCCAUCU
Molecule: long non-coding RNA, 662 nt
Filed under: Nicotiana benthamiana
Lineage: Eukaryota; Viridiplantae; Streptophyta; Magnoliopsida; Solanales; Solanaceae
Description: long non-coding RNA (NBEN_LNC029952)
Source: RNAcentral